Magallana angulata is the source of this 806-nucleotide long non-coding RNA. RefSeq lists it as uncharacterized. Lineage: Eukaryota; Metazoa; Mollusca; Bivalvia; Ostreida; Ostreidae. The transcript is spliced from 3 exons. The record is from RefSeq and is a predicted model, not a curated record.
UGUAAAUCUUAAUGUUAAAGCUGCUUGGUCCGAUUUUCAAUAAAAUAAUUGUACGCUUUUAAACGAUGGUUAUGCUAAGUAUGUGUGCAAUAAUAUACGUUGCAGUACAUGUAGUUUUCCCUGUCAAUUAAGCCAUAUUUCAAUGAAAAAAUUAUGUACAUGUUGAAACUCGUUGAAUCCGGAUGUUGUUUAUUACGGCAUGCUGCCCAAUCCGGCGACAUUAUUCAGCCCCUUGACAUUUUCCCAUCAUUUUUGUUUUAAAAAUAAUUGUGCAAUCCGGAUCCUAUCUAUUCUGUUAACCGGCGCAAUGAAAAAGCCUACUGCAUAUUAUUAGUGAGAGUUAUCUCCCGUAGUCCGUCCACUUAUCGAUCGAUCGGCCUUCUGCGAGAUAUUAAUGCUCAAUUAUUGACCAAUUUUUCUGUCGUUGCUAUUGAUUUAAACAACUGUUAAUAUAGAUCCAAAGAAGCAACUUUUUUCAGUUAAUACCGUAAAGUCUUGUUAUGAAUUGCAAUUGGAUAAUUAGAUUAUAGUUCAUCCAAUUUUUUUAAGGCCGUGAUUCAGGAUACUGCGGGAGUAAGACUGCCGAUAUCGUUUGUUAUCCCCGUUGCAUGGCUACACGUAAAUCGGAUGUUUGAAAGAUUAUCAAUAACGACGAUUUAAUUCAAGGAUUUCCAUCAACCACCCUCCGCCGGAUUAGACAAGUUUUGUUGUGUAUUCGCAAAAUAAUCGACAUAAAAGGGUUUUGCGUUAUUUCGCCGCGUGUUUAAACUGGCCCCUUACGUCGAAGCUAGUAUGAUUGUAUUACG